CCUACGGGUGGCAGCAGUGGGGAAUAUUGCACAAUGGGCGCAAACCUGAUGCAGCCAUGCCGCGUGUAUGAAGAAGACCUUAGGGUUGUAAAGUACUUUCAGUUGGGAGGAAGGCGUUAAUGCUAAUAUCAUCAACGAUUGACGUUACCAACAGAAGAAGCACCGGCUAACUCCGUGCCAGCAGCCGCGGUAAUACGGAGGGUGCAAGCGUUUAUCGGAAUUACUGGGCGUAAGGCGCACGCAGGCGGUUGAUUAAGUUAGAUGUGAAAUCCCCGGGCUUAACCUGGGAAUGGCAUCUAAGACUGGUCAGCUAGAGUCUUGUAGAGGGGGGUAGAAUUCCAUGUGUAGCGGUGAAAUGCGUAGAGAUGUGGAGGAAUACCGGUGGCGAAGGCGGCCCCCUGGACAAAGACUGACGCUCAGGUGCGAAAGCGUGGGGAGCAAACAGGAUUAGAUACCCCUGUAGUC
RNAcentral lists this ribosomal RNA (465 nucleotides) under uncultured bacterium. RNAcentral's name for it is "bacterial SSU rRNA". It matches the Rfam family "Bacterial small subunit ribosomal RNA", at positions 338 to 795 of the family's 1533-position model. The record is from RNAcentral.